This 253-nucleotide ribosomal RNA is filed under the name uncultured bacterium. RNAcentral's name for it is "partial 16S ribosomal RNA". It matches the Rfam family "Bacterial small subunit ribosomal RNA", at positions 524 to 776 of the family's 1533-position model. The record is from RNAcentral.
UACGAAGGGGGCUAGCGUUGCUCGGAAUGACUGGGCGUAAAGCGUGCGCAGGCGGCGCGUUAAGACAGGUGUGAAAGCCCCGAGCUUAACUUGGGAAUUGCGCUUGUGACUGGCGUGCUGGAGUGUGGCAGAGGGAGGUGGAAUUCCACGUGUAGCAGUGAAAUGCGUAGAGAUGUGGAGAAACACCGAUGGCGAAGGCAGCCUCCUGGGCCAGCACUGACGCUCAUGCACGAAAGCGUGGGGAGCAAACAGG